RNAcentral lists this ribosomal RNA (1436 nucleotides) under uncultured bacterium. Its description in RNAcentral is "bacterial SSU rRNA". It matches the Rfam family "Bacterial small subunit ribosomal RNA". The record is from RNAcentral.
ACGCUAGCUACAGGCUUAACACAUGCAAGUCGAGGGGCAGCAUGGUCUUAGCUUGCUAAGGCCGAUGGCGACCGGCGCACGGGUGAGUAACACGUAUCCAACCUGCCGUCUACUCUUGGACAGCCUUCUGAAAGGAAGAUUAAUACAAGAUGGCAUCAUGAGUCCACAUGUUCACAUGAUUAAAGGUAUUCCGGUAGACGAUGGGGAUGCGUUCCAUUAGAUAGUAGGCGGGGUAACGGCCCACCUAGUCUUCGAUGGAUAGGGGUUCUGAGAGGAAGGUCCCCCACAUUGGAACUGAGACACGGUCCAAACUCCUACGGGAGGCAGCAGUGAGGAAUAUUGGUCAAUGGGCGAGAGCCUGAACCAGCCAAGUAGCGUGAAGGAUGACUGCCCUAUGGGUUGUAAACUUCUUUUAUAAAGGAAUAAAGUCGGGUAUGGAUACCCGUUUGCAUGUACUUUAUGAAUAGGGAUCGGCUAACUCCGUGCCAGCAGCCGCGGUAAUACGGAGGAUCCGAGCGUUAUCCGGAUUUAUUGGGUUUAAAGGGAGCGUAGAUGGAUGUUUAAGUCAGUUGUGAAAGUUUGCGGCUCAACCGUAAAAUUGCAGUUGAUACUGGAUAUCUUGAGUGCAGUUGAGGCAGGCGGAAUUCGUGGUGUAGCGGUGAAAUGCUUAGAUAUCACGAAGAACUCCGAUUGCGAAGGCAGCCUGCUAAGCUGCAACUGACAUUGAGGCUCGAAAGUGUGGGUAUCAAACAGGAUUAGAUACCCUGGUAGUCCACACGGUAAACGAUGAAUACUCGCUGUUUGCGAUAUACAGCAAGCGGCCAAGCGAAAGCGUUAAGUAUUCCACCUGGGGAGUACGCCGGCAACGGUGAAACUCAAAGGAAUUGACGGGGGCCCGCACAAGCGGAGGAACAUGUGGUUUAAUUCGAUGAUACGCGAGGAACCUUACCCGGGCUUAAAUUGCAGAUGAAUUACGGUGAAAGCCGUAAGCCGCAAGGCAUCUGUGAAGGUGCUGCAUGGUUGUCGUCAGCUCGUGCCGUGAGGUGUCGGCUUAAGUGCCAUAACGAGCGCAACCCUUGUUGUCAGUUACUAACAGGUUCCGCUGAGGACUCUGACAAGACUGCCAUCGUAAGAUGUGAGGAAGGUGGGGAUGACGUCAAAUCAGCACGGCCCUUACGUCCGGGGCUACACACGUGUUACAAUGGGGGGUACAGAGGGCCGCUACCACGCGAGUGGAUGCCAAUCCCAAAAACCUCUCUCAGUUCGGACUGGAGUCUGCAACCCGACUCCACGAAGCUGGAUUCGCUAGUAAUCGCGCAUCAGCCACGGCGCGGUGAAUACGUUCCCGGGCCUUGUACACACCGCCCGUCAAGCCAUGGGAGCCGGGGGUACCUGAAGUGCGUAACCGCGAGGAGCGCCCUAGGGUAAAACUGGUA